RNAcentral lists this ribosomal RNA (331 nucleotides) under uncultured Lactobacillus sp. Its description in RNAcentral is "bacterial SSU rRNA". It matches the Rfam family "Bacterial small subunit ribosomal RNA", at positions 202 to 525 of the family's 1533-position model. The record is from RNAcentral. Lineage: Bacteria; Bacillati; Bacillota; Bacilli; Lactobacillales; Lactobacillaceae.
CGGUCGUAAGCUGUCGCUAUGGGAUGGCCCCGCGGUGCAUUAGCUAGUUGGUAAGUAAAGGCUUACCAAGGCGAUGAUGCAUAGCCGAGUUGAGAGACUGAUCGGCCACAUUGGGACUGAGACACGGCCCAAACUCCUACGGGAGGCAGCAGUAGGGAAUCUUCCACAAUGGACGCAAGUCUGAUGGAGCAACGCCGCGUGAGUGAAGAAGGUUUUCGGAUCGUAAAGCUCUGUUGUUGGUGAAGAAGGAUAGAGGUAGUAACUGGCCUUUAUUUGACGGUAAUCAACCAGAAAGUCACGGGCUAACUACGUGCCAGCAGCCGCGGUAAAU